UACGAAGGGGGCUAGCGUUGCUCGGAAUCACUGGGCGUAAAGGGCGCGUAGGUGGCUUGGCAAGUUGGGUGUGAAAGCCCAGGGCUCAACCCUGGAAUUGCACUCAAGACUGCUUUGCUUGAAUUCGGUAGAGGUUGGUGGAAUUCCCAGUGUAGAGGUGAAAUUCGUAGAGAUUGGGAAGAACACCCGUGGCGAAGGCGGCCAACUGGACCGACAUUGACACUGAGGCGCGAAAGCGUGGGGAUCAAACAGG
Molecule: ribosomal RNA, 253 nt
Filed under: uncultured bacterium
Lineage: Bacteria
Description: partial 16S ribosomal RNA
Rfam family: Bacterial small subunit ribosomal RNA
Source: RNAcentral